This 433-nucleotide ribosomal RNA is filed under the name uncultured bacterium. RNAcentral's name for it is "partial 16S ribosomal RNA". It matches the Rfam family "Bacterial small subunit ribosomal RNA", at positions 29 to 507 of the family's 1533-position model. The record is from RNAcentral.
AACGAACGCUGGCGGCAGGCCUAACACAUGCAAGUCGAGCGAGGACUUCGGUUCUAGCGGCGGACGGGUGAGUAACGCGUGGGAAUGUGCCCUUCUCUACGGAAUAGCCCUAGGAAACUGGGAGUAAUACCGUAUACGCCCUAUUGGGGAAAGAUUUAUCGGAGAAGGAUCAGCCCGCGUUGGAUUAGGUAGUUGGUGGGGUAAUGGCCUACCAAGCCGACGAUCCAUAGCUGGUUUGAGAGGAUGAUCAGCCACACUGGGACUGAGACACGGCCCAGACUCCUACGGGAGGCAGCAGUGGGGAAUCUUAGACAAUGGGGGCAACCCUGAUCUAGCCAUGCCGCGUGAGUGAUGAAGGCCUUAGGGUUGUAAAGCUCUUUCAGCUGGGAAGAUAAUGACGGUACCAGCAGAAGAAGCCCCGGCUAACUCCGUG